RNAcentral lists this ribosomal RNA (1623 nucleotides) under Caryophyllaeus laticeps. RNAcentral's name for it is "LSU rRNA". It matches the Rfam family "Eukaryotic large subunit ribosomal RNA", at positions 16 to 982 of the family's 3401-position model. The record is from RNAcentral. Lineage: Eukaryota; Metazoa; Platyhelminthes; Cestoda; Caryophyllidea; Caryophyllaeidae.
UAGGUCGACCCGCUGAAUUUAAGCAUAUCACUAAGCGGAGGAAAAGAAACUAACCAGGAUUCCCCUAGUAACGGCGAGUGAAGAGGGAAAAGCCCAGCACCGAAGCCUGUGGCAAUUUUGCUGCUAGGCAAUGUGGUGUUUAGGUCGGCUCGUGGGAUCGCCACUCCACUCGAAGUCCAGCAUUGAGUAUGGUUCCCAGGAAUUGGCCCAUAGAGGGUGAAAGGCCCGUACGAGUGGAUGUGUCAGAUAUGUAAGGCGAUUCACCAGGCCGGCCUUAGAGUCGGGUUGUUUGCGAAUGCAGCCCAAAGUGGGUGGUAAACUCCAUCCAAGGCUAAAUACUAGCACGAGUCCGAUAGCGAACAAGUACCGUGAGGGAAAGUUGAAAAGUACUUUGAAGAGAGAGUAAACAGUACGUGAAACCGCAUAGAGGUAAACGGGUGGCGUCAAGCUGCAAGCCCAGAGAAUUCAGUCGGUCAGGGUGUUGUCAUGCGCCCAGCGCAUCUAUCAGUCGGUGUAGGAUUUGGCUAGUCCGCUUGAAGAUGGCGGGCCCAGCUAGCAAUAGCUGGGAUUUGCGUACCGGGCGGUAGCCGGAGCAUGCUAGCCGUCUGUAGGACUGCCUGGCCGAUGCACUUUCUCUGUUGGUGAACACCACGACCGGUGGUACUGCCAGUCUGCUGUAGCCAGCUUCGUUGCAUACUCUGGCCUUUUGGUUGGGGCGUGUGGCGAUCACAGACAAUUUCAGUGCACGGUGCUUGUGUGUUUUUCGCAUGCGGGCAUGUUAUCGGGAACUGGUUGUAAACGGGUCGGCCUGUCGACUUGUCUGUAGUCGUGGUUGAUGGGUGACCCGGUGGGCUAUGGUGGUAUGAAUAACUGUGCAGGGCACCGGAGUUUUCGGUCCGACCAGCAGUAGUCGUUCGCGGCUGCUGUUGCCGGCUGCAUACGCACUGCAGUUUAGCGUGUGCACUGUCUUUGGCAGUAGUACGGGCGGCGCUGUUUACGGCCUGCCAGUCGUUGGGUCUGAUUGUCGUGUCGCCUGCCAAAAUGGUGGGUCCGGCGGUGGCCUGGCGUUGGAUGGUGCCUGUAGACGGAGCUGUCGUUGUGCAGCCGGUAUUUGUGUGCGCGACCUUAUAGUCUGUGGUGUAGUGGUAGACGAGCUACCCGACCCGUCUUGAAACACGGACCAAGGAGUUUAACAUGCGCGCGAGUCAUUGGGUCCUACGAAACCCAGAGGCGCAGUGAAAGUAAAGCUUCGACAUAUAUUGUUCUCGGGGUGUGGUGAGAUCCUGCUGUUUCUCGCAUACAUUUGUCCAGCACUGGGCUAACUAAACGAGCAGUGGGCGCAUCACCGGCCCGUCCCAUGAUGUGGCUAUCUGUCAGUGGCAGUUGUCGCCUUACGGUGGUGGUUGCUUUCUGCGGGUACGUCAUCGGGGCGGAGCAUGAGCGCGCAUGUUGAGACCCGAAAGAUGGUGAACUAUGCUUGCGUAGGUUGAAGCCAGAGGAAACUCUGGUGGAGGACCGCAGCGAUUCUGACGUGCAAAUCGAUCGUCAAACGUGAGUAUAGGGGCGAAAGACUAAUCGAACCAUCUAGUAGCUGGUUCCCUCCGAAGUUUCCCUCAGGAUAGC